Molecule: ribosomal RNA, 120 nt
Filed under: uncultured bacterium
Lineage: Bacteria
Description: partial 16S ribosomal RNA
Rfam family: Bacterial small subunit ribosomal RNA
Source: RNAcentral
GACGAACGCUGGCGGCGUGCUUAACACAUGCAAGUCGAACGAUGAUCCGGGUGCUUGCACUUGGGGAUUAGUGGCGAACGGGUGAGUAACACGUGAGUAACCUGCCCUGGACUCUGGGAU